ACGAACGCUGGCGGCGUGCUUCACCCAUGCAAGUCGAACGGAAAGGCCCUGCUUUUGUGGGGUGCUCGAGUGGCGAACGGGUGAGUAACACGUGAGUAACCUGCCCUUGACUUUGGGAUAACUUCAGGAAACUGGGGCUAAUACCGGAUAGGAGCUCCUGCUGCAUGGUGGGGUUUGGAAAGUUUCGGCGGUUGGGGAUGGACUCGCGGCUUAUCAGCUUGUUGGUGGGGUAGUGGCUUACCAAGGCUUUGACGGGUAGCCGGCCUGAGAGGGUGACCGGCCACAUUGGGACUGAGAUACGGCCCAGACUCCUACGGGAGGCAGCAGUGGGGAAUAUUGCACAAUGGGCGGAAGCCUGAUGCAGCAACGCCGCGUGCGGGAUGACGGCCUUCGGGUUGUAAACCGCUUUCGCCUGUGACGAAGCGUGAGUGACGGUAAUGGGUAAAGAAGCACCGGCUAACUACGUG
RNAcentral lists this ribosomal RNA (467 nucleotides) under uncultured bacterium. RNAcentral's name for it is "partial 16S ribosomal RNA". It matches the Rfam family "Bacterial small subunit ribosomal RNA", at positions 29 to 507 of the family's 1533-position model. The record is from RNAcentral.